This 253-nucleotide ribosomal RNA is filed under the name uncultured bacterium. Its description in RNAcentral is "partial 16S ribosomal RNA". It matches the Rfam family "Bacterial small subunit ribosomal RNA", at positions 524 to 776 of the family's 1533-position model. The record is from RNAcentral.
UACGGAGGAUGCAAGCGUUAUCCGGAAUGAUUGGGCGUAAAGCGUCCGCAGGUGGCUAUGUAAGUCUGCUGUUAAAGAGUGAGGCUCAACCUCAUAAGAGCAGUGGAAACUACAUGGCUAGAGUGCGUUCGGGGCAGAGGGAAUUCCUGGUGUAGCGGUGAAAUGCGUAGAUAUCUGGAGGAACACCGGUGGCGAAGGCGGCAUCCUGGACCGGCAUUGACGCUGAGGCGCGAAAGCCAGGGGAGCAAACGGG